Molecule: ribosomal RNA, 308 nt
Filed under: uncultured Pseudomonas sp.
Lineage: Bacteria; Pseudomonadati; Pseudomonadota; Gammaproteobacteria; Pseudomonadales; Pseudomonadaceae
Description: bacterial SSU rRNA
Rfam family: Bacterial small subunit ribosomal RNA
Source: RNAcentral
GUAGGUUAAGUCCCGUAACGAGCGCAACCCUUGUCCUUAGUUACCAGCACGUUAUGGUGGGCACUCUAAGGAGACUGCCGGUGACAAACCGGAGGAAGGUGGGGAUGACGUCAAGUCAUCAUGGCCCUUACGGCCUGGGCUACACACGUGCUACAAUGGUCGGUACAAAGGGUUGCCAAGCCGCGAGGUGGAGCUAAUCCCAUAAAACCGAUCGUAGUCCGGAUCGCAGUCUGCAACUCGACUGCGUGAAGUCGGAAUCGCUAGUAAUCGUGAAUCAGAAUGUCACGGUGAAUACGUUCCCGGGCCUU